RNAcentral lists this transfer RNA (74 nucleotides) under Glyphodes perspectalis. RNAcentral describes it as "tRNA-Leu". The record is from RNAcentral. Lineage: Eukaryota; Metazoa; Arthropoda; Insecta; Lepidoptera; Crambidae.
UACUAUCUAUAUAAUAAAUUAAUAUAUAUAUAUUUAUGAUUUCUAAAACCAUUACACUUUUCUGCCAAAAUAGU